UGGGGAAUAUUGCACAAUGGGCGAAAGCCUGAUGCAGCGACGCCGCGUGAGGGAUGACGGCCUUCGGGUUGUAAACCUCUUUCAGCAGGGACGAAGCGCAAGUGACGGUACCUGCAGAAGAAGCACCGGCUAACUACGUGCCAGCAGCCGCGGUAAUACGUAGGGUGCAAGCGUUGUCCGGAAUUACUGGGCGUAAAGAGUUCGUAGGCGGUUGGUCGCGUCGUUUGUGAAAACCAGCAGCUCAACUGCUGGCUUGCAGGCGAUACGGGCAGACUUGAGUACUGCAGGGGAGACUGGAAUUCCUGGUGUAGCGGUGAAAUGCGCAGAUAUCAGGAGGAACACCGGGAGGGAAGGCGGGUCUCUGGGCAGUAACUGACGCUGAGGAACGAAAGCGUGGGUAGCGAACAGG
RNAcentral lists this ribosomal RNA (409 nucleotides) under bacterium. Its description in RNAcentral is "partial 16S ribosomal RNA". It matches the Rfam family "Bacterial small subunit ribosomal RNA", at positions 355 to 776 of the family's 1533-position model. The record is from RNAcentral.